Molecule: long non-coding RNA, 273 nt
Organism: Orcinus orca (killer whale)
Lineage: Eukaryota; Metazoa; Chordata; Mammalia; Artiodactyla; Delphinidae
Exons: 3
Source: RefSeq, a predicted model, not a curated record
UGGCGUGUGUGUGGAGUCCUAGGUGUACGCUGGGUCCCACACUUGUCACGGCGGAGACGCAGCUGUCCGCGUGGCGUGUGCGGUGGGAAGGGUGCCUGAAUCCUCCAUGAGCUCCCAAUGAACUUCAUGGUCGCAGCCCUACAACAUAUUCUCAUCACCUCCAAAUAUCUGCUGAGGUGUAGGUGUGGUGGCAGCAAUGAUGCCAAGUAACUCCUCACUGCAUCCAACUUGAAGAAAAAGUUCAAACCUUUCUUCACUAGCUGCAAAAGAGCA